UACGGAGGAUGCAAGCGUUAUCUGGAUUUAUUGGGUUUAAAGGGUGCGCAGGUUGUUUGAUAAGUCAGUGGUGAAAGUCUGUCGCUUAACGGUAGGAUUGCCAUUGAUACUGUUAGACUUGAAUAUGGAUGAGGUAGGCGGAAUGUGUAGUGUAGCGGUGAAAUGCAUAGAUAUUACACAGAACACCGAUUGCGAAGGCAGCUUACUAAUCCAUCAUUGACGCUGAGGCACGAAAGCGUGGGGAUCAAACA
This 251-nucleotide ribosomal RNA is filed under the name uncultured prokaryote. RNAcentral's name for it is "partial 16S ribosomal RNA". It matches the Rfam family "Bacterial small subunit ribosomal RNA", at positions 524 to 774 of the family's 1533-position model. The record is from RNAcentral.